Long non-coding RNA from Varroa destructor (honeybee mite), 1203 nucleotides. RefSeq lists it as uncharacterized. Lineage: Eukaryota; Metazoa; Arthropoda; Arachnida; Mesostigmata; Varroidae. The record is from RefSeq and is a predicted model, not a curated record.
ACAUCGGACAAUGCCGGAGGACAGAUAAAUUAAUGGCUACUGUAAAGUCAAGUGUCGCUCGAUCAGCUGAAAAAGGUUGGCUGCUAGUUAAAAUUGUCCUAGACCCAGUAGGAUUUGUUUAGUUUGUGUCGCCGAGUAAGUUUGCCGAACGCGAUUGAUCAAAAUAGGCUGAUAUACCUGACCUGCUUCUACCCAACUUGGAUGUAUUAUUUUGAGAAGCUACGACAGAGGAUACGGCUGCCUGCGGUAGGUUCGAGGCAAAUUCCUGUUAUUGAUAAUAAUAACAUCGGAAAGAGAUGAUCAAGGAACGCAGGUUUUCACCAGUGCCUCGGUUCGCUUGCUUACCGAUUGCACCUCAUUAUUAACGAACUUGCUGUAAUUAAACAACUCUCAAGGUCACCAUCGUUUUGAUCUAGUAAAUUGUGCUAUGAUAUUCACGAACGGCGUGACGCAUCAGGAGUUCUCGUCACACCAACAUGGCCAAUAGAUACCGUACGAUGCCGUUGGUGCUGCUGCUGCUGCUGCUGCUACGAGACGCGUUAUGGAACAGAGAAGUAACGUCGCGCCUGUGCUAGAUAGUAUUUUCAAGGGAAAAGCAAACGGGAAUUGUGGCGUAGACAACUGGUAUCUGCGUAAUCGAUUGAUGUAAACGUCGAUUAUUUACGUUAUAGUAUACAGAUCGGCUAUAGGGGAAGCGAAGCAAGUUGAAGUUGUCUUGUUUUAGUCGACUGCACCAUCGAUGAAGACACUUGCGAGAUGGGGGUAUGACAUCGAAUACAUGAAGCUUCUUUGUUUUUAACGAUAGGCCAGCAAACGACGAGCGAGCUAACGAUAAGGACCGAUUCGCGUACUGCUAAAAAUUGAAGCUGAUUCACGCAUCGAAUGAAUCUACCCAAGCGGAAUAGGGCCAUUAGAAUACUUCUGUUAUGGUACAAUCAGCCAAAAACCUUUAACACUACCGACUUUGCCCAAACUUAACUUUUAUCGAAGCUACUUCAUCCGUCGUUACAUCCGCGAAUAUCUACGUGGAGCCCUUCCGUAAAUUCAUGCCACUCUAUCUAAUACGGAUUUUGUCACUGGUCGAGCUCUUUGAUAUAAUUGAAGAUUUAUUCGGCGCCAUCAUUACCUAGCAAUCCUUCACAUAUAGAGAAAUGCGAGGCAGCCGCCAUAAUUGCCGUUAGUACAUCUUCGCCCAUGCCAAGU